Molecule: ribosomal RNA, 254 nt
Filed under: uncultured bacterium
Lineage: Bacteria
Description: partial 16S ribosomal RNA
Rfam family: Bacterial small subunit ribosomal RNA
Source: RNAcentral
UACGGGGGGGGGCAAGCGUUGUUCGGAAUUACUGGGCGUAAAGGGCUCGUAGGCGGCCAACUAAGUCAUACGUGAAAUCCCUCGGCUUAACCGGGGAACUGCGUCUGAUACUGGAUGGCUUGAGUUCGGGAGAGGGAUGCGGAAUUCCAGGUGUAGCGGUAAAAUGCGUAGAUAUCUGGAGGAACACCGGUGGCGAAGGCGGCAUCCUGGACCGAUACUGACGCUGAGGAGCGAAAGCCAGGGGAGCAAACGGG